CGACUCUCGGCAACGGAUAUCUCGGCUCACGCAUCGAUGAAGAACGUAGCAAAAUGCGAUACUUGGUGUGAAUUGCAGAAUCCCGUGAACCAUCGAGUUUUUGAACGCAAGUUGCGCCCGAAGCCUUUUGGUCGAGGGCACGUCUGCCUGGGCGUCACGC
Molecule: ribosomal RNA, 160 nt
Filed under: Soliva sessilis
Lineage: Eukaryota; Viridiplantae; Streptophyta; Magnoliopsida; Asterales; Asteraceae
Description: 5.8S ribosomal RNA
Rfam family: 5.8S ribosomal RNA
About the family: 5.8S ribosomal RNA (5.8S rRNA) is a component of the large subunit of the eukaryotic ribosome.
Source: RNAcentral